UGGCAUACCUCUUCAGUCUUGUGUCAAUGCUUCUAUUGCAUUGAACGCACUGUGGGUUUCUUGUGUUGCAUACCUAAUUAAUGGUAUCGCUUGAUGAAUUGGUAUUCCUUUCGUCUUGUGUCGCCUAAGCGAUGCGUGAUGAACCUUGAAGCAGCCUUUGUGAUCCACUCUUUUGAUGCAUACGCAUUGAUUUUGUGGCCCAUUGAGUGUUGCUUGGUCUCAUGGAUAUGGAAACUGGUGUGGGCAUGGAAUCUUAAUGGUUCCUUGUUUGCCCAACUUUAGCUUUUCUAAAACGAUUGUCUAUCAUGUGUUAACAUGGUAGACUCCUUCGAAUAUGAAUGCUACCUGGUUGAUCCUGCCAGUAGUCAUAUGCUUGUCUCAAAGAUUAAGCCAU
RNAcentral lists this unclassified non-coding RNA (394 nucleotides) under Helichrysum sp. Vitek 02350. Its description in RNAcentral is "partial external transcribed spacer". The stretch from base 343 to 394 matches the Rfam family "Eukaryotic small subunit ribosomal RNA", at positions 1 to 52 of the family's 1831-position model. Lineage: Eukaryota; Viridiplantae; Streptophyta; Magnoliopsida; Asterales; Asteraceae. The record is from RNAcentral.